AGUGAACGCUGGCGGUAGGCCUAACACAUGCCAGUCGAACGGCAGCACAGUAAGAGCUUGCUCUUACGGGUGGCGAGUGGCGGACGGGUGAGGAAUACAUCGGAAUCUACUUUUUCGUGGGGGAUAACGUAGGGAAACUUACGCUAAUACCGCAUACGACAUACGGGUGAAAGCAGGGGAUCUUCGGACCUUGCGCGAUUGAAUGAGCCGAUGUCGGAUUAGCUAGUUGGCGGGGUAAAGGCCCACCAAGGCGACGAUCCGUAGCUGGUCUGAGAGGAUGAUCAGCCACACUGGAACUGAGACACGGUCCAGACUCCUACGGGAGGCAGCAGUGGGGAAUAUUGGACAAUGGGCGCAAGCCUGAUCCAGCCAUACCGCGUGGGUGAAGAAGGCCUUCGGGUUGUAAAGCCCUUUUGUUGGGAAAGAAAAGCAGCAGGUUAAUACCCCGCUGUUCUGACGGUACCCAAAGAAUAAGCACCGGCUAACUUCGUG
This 492-nucleotide ribosomal RNA is filed under the name uncultured bacterium. RNAcentral describes it as "partial 16S ribosomal RNA". It matches the Rfam family "Bacterial small subunit ribosomal RNA", at positions 29 to 507 of the family's 1533-position model. The record is from RNAcentral.